RNAcentral lists this transfer RNA (77 nucleotides) under Acidobacteria bacterium RIFCSPHIGHO2_01_FULL_67_28. Its description in RNAcentral is "tRNA-Ile". It matches the Rfam family "tRNA". Rfam says of the family: Transfer RNA (tRNA) molecules are approximately 80 nucleotides in length. Their secondary structure includes four short double-helical elements and three loops (D, anti-codon, and T loops). The record is from RNAcentral. RNAcentral also lists the same sequence under 5 other names. Lineage: Bacteria; Pseudomonadati; Acidobacteriota.
GGGCGUAUAGCUCAGUUGGUUAGAGCGCACCCCUGAUAAGGGUGAGGUCGGUGGUUCGAAUCCACCUACGCCCACCA